UGAAUUAAAAGGAGGGGAAAAAAUCAAUGCUUACUGAAGACAAUUGUUCAAGAAGUUGUCUUAUAAAUAAACAGAAAGACUUGUCUUCAGGUAACAUGAAAGGAAAAUAUAUGGAAGGAAUAGACUGGAUCCUUUGUAUAUUUAUUUAUUAACAUGUGUCCGAAAAGGCUAUCAGAAAAAAAUUUUGGAAAGAUAUUCUGUGUAGGCAUUUAUUUUUGUUCAAAAUGGUCAAGUUGACUUUCAAUUUUGCAUAGAGAGUAUCUGUUUCAAAGCACAAGUCUGUACAAAGAAACCUCACUAUUUUGCCAUACAAUAUUUCAUUGAAAAUAGUUUAAAAAAUUAGCCAACAGGAAUAAACAAAUUGAAAAGGGGGUAAACAGAAGCUAUACAUAUUUGUAACAGUCGAAUUUUGCCAAUUUAAGGGAAUUAAGAAAUAUCAAUGAAUGUUGAAUGAAUGUAAUUUUUAC
RNAcentral lists this long non-coding RNA (467 nucleotides) under Bos taurus (domestic cattle). RNAcentral's name for it is "long non-coding RNA NONBTAT011182". Lineage: Eukaryota; Metazoa; Chordata; Mammalia; Artiodactyla; Bovidae. The record is from RNAcentral.